GAUGAAGAACGUAGCGAAACGCGAUAAGUAAUGUGAAUUGCAGAAUCCAGUGAAUCAUCGAAUCUUUGAACGCACAUUGCGCCCGCCAGCAUUCUGGCGGGCAUGCCUGUUCGAGCGUCAUUUCAACCCUCGACCUCCCCUUGGGGAGGUCGGCGUUGGGGACCGGCAGCACACCGCCGGCCCUGAAAUGGAGUGGCGGCCCGUCCGCGGCGACCUCUGCGCAGUAAUACAGCUCGCACCGGGACCCCGAAGCGGCCACGCCGUAAAACACCCAACUUCUGAACGUUGACCUCGAAUCAGGUAGGACUACCCGCUGAACUUAAGCAUAUCAAUAAGCGGAGGA
This 343-nucleotide unclassified non-coding RNA is filed under the name soil metagenome. RNAcentral describes it as "partial contains 5.8S ribosomal RNA, internal transcribed spacer 2, and large subunit ribosomal RNA". The stretch from base 1 to 120 matches the Rfam family "5.8S ribosomal RNA", at positions 35 to 154 of the family's 154-position model. The record is from RNAcentral.